GGGUAGGUGGCCGAGUGGUUAAAGGCAACAGACUGUAAAUCUGUCCUCUCACGAGUACGGUGGUUCGAAUCCACCCCUGCCCACCA
RNAcentral lists this transfer RNA (86 nucleotides) under Selenomonadaceae bacterium. Its description in RNAcentral is "tRNA-Tyr". It matches the Rfam family "tRNA". From Rfam's summary of the family: Transfer RNA (tRNA) molecules are approximately 80 nucleotides in length. Lineage: Bacteria; Bacillati; Bacillota; Negativicutes; Selenomonadales; Selenomonadaceae. The record is from RNAcentral.